AAUGAACGCUGGCGGCAGGCCUAACACAUGCAAGUCGAACGGAACCUUCGGGAUUAGUGGCGGACGGGUGAGUAACGCGUGGGAACAUACCCUUUGGUACGGAAUAGCCUCGGGAAACUGGGAGUAAUACCGUAUGUGGUCGAGAGACGAAAGAUUUAUCGCCAAAGGAUUGGCCCGCGUUGGAUUAGGUAGUUGGUGGGGUAGUGGCCUACCAAGCCGACGAUCCAUAGCUGGCUUGCGAGGAUGAUCAGCCACACUGGGACUGAGACACGGCCCAGACUCCUACGGGAGGCAGCAGUGGGGAAUCUUAGGCAAUGGGGGAAACCCUGAUCUAGCCAUGCCGCGUGAUCGAUGAAGGCCUUAGGGUUGUAAAGAUCUUUCAGGUGGGAAGAUAAUGACUGUACCACCAGAAGAAGCCCCGGCUAACUCCGUGCCAGCCGCCGCCGUAA
RNAcentral lists this ribosomal RNA (449 nucleotides) under uncultured bacterium. Its description in RNAcentral is "partial 16S ribosomal RNA". It matches the Rfam family "Bacterial small subunit ribosomal RNA", at positions 29 to 523 of the family's 1533-position model. The record is from RNAcentral.